UACGUAGGCAGCGAGCGUUGCUCGGAAUUACUGGGCGUAAAGCGCACGUAGGCGGUCUUUUAAGUCGGGGGUGAAAUCCUGGAGCUCAACUCCAGAACUGCCUUUGAUACUGAGGAUCUUGAGUUCGGGAGAGGUGAGUGGAACUGCGAGUGUAGAGGUGAAAUUCGUAGAUAUUCGCAAGAACACCAGUGGCGAAGGCGGCUCACUGGCCCGAUACUGACGCUGAGGCACGAAAGCGUGGGGAGCAAACAGG
RNAcentral lists this ribosomal RNA (253 nucleotides) under uncultured bacterium. RNAcentral's name for it is "partial 16S ribosomal RNA". It matches the Rfam family "Bacterial small subunit ribosomal RNA", at positions 524 to 776 of the family's 1533-position model. The record is from RNAcentral.